GCCCCACUAGUCUGGGAUACCACUUGGAAACAGGUGCUAAUACCGGAUAAGAAAGCGGAUCGCAUGAUCAGCUUUUAAAAGGCGGCGUAAGCUGUCGCUAUGGGAUGGCCCCGCGGUGCAUUAGCUAGUUGGUAAGGUAAAGGCUUACCAAGGCGAUGAUGCAUAGCCGAGUUGAGAGACUGAUCGGCCACAUUGGGACUGAGACACGGCCCAAACUCCUACGGGAGGCAGCAGCU
RNAcentral lists this ribosomal RNA (236 nucleotides) under uncultured Lactobacillus sp. Its description in RNAcentral is "partial 16S ribosomal RNA". It matches the Rfam family "Bacterial small subunit ribosomal RNA", at positions 128 to 355 of the family's 1533-position model. Lineage: Bacteria; Bacillati; Bacillota; Bacilli; Lactobacillales; Lactobacillaceae. The record is from RNAcentral.